RNAcentral lists this ribosomal RNA (429 nucleotides) under Pseudomonadota bacterium. RNAcentral describes it as "Proteobacteria bacterium partial 16S ribosomal RNA". It matches the Rfam family "Bacterial small subunit ribosomal RNA", at positions 355 to 776 of the family's 1533-position model. The record is from RNAcentral. Lineage: Bacteria; Pseudomonadati; Pseudomonadota.
UGGGGAAUAUUGGACAAUGGGCGAAAGCCUGAUCCAGCCAUGCCGCGUGUGUGAAGAAGGUCUUCGGAUUGUAAAGCACUUUAAGUUGGGAGGAAGGGCAGUAAGCGAAUACCUUGCUGUUUUGACGUUACCGACAGAAUAAGCACCGGCUAACUCUGUGCCAGCAGCCGCGGUAAUACAGAGGGUGCAAGCGUUAAGCGGAAUUACGGGGCGUAAAGCGCGCGUAGGUGGUUCGUUAAGUUGAAUGUGAAAGCCCCGGGCUCAAACUGGGAACUGCAUCCAAAACUGGCGAGCUAGAGUAGGGCAGAGGGUGGUGGAAUUUCCUGUGUAGCGGUGAAAUGCGUAGAUAUAGGAAGGAACACCAGUGGCGAAGGCGACCACCUGGGCUCAUACUGACACUGAGGUGCGAAAGCGUGGGGAGCAAACAGG